This 1967-nucleotide ribosomal RNA is filed under the name human gut metagenome. Its description in RNAcentral is "bacterial LSU rRNA". It matches the Rfam family "Bacterial large subunit ribosomal RNA", at positions 3 to 1987 of the family's 2925-position model. The record is from RNAcentral.
UCAAGCUACUAAGGGCAUACGGUGGAUGCCUUGGCACUAAGAGCCGAUGAAGGACGCGGUAAGCUGCGAAAAGCCACGGGGAACUGCAAGCAAGUCUUGAUCCGUGGAUGUCCGAAUGGGGAAACCCACCAUCCGUCAUGGGAUGGUAUCCUACGGGAGGGGAACCCGGUGAACUGAAACAUCUAAGUAGCCGGAGGAAGAGAAAUCAAACGAGAUGCCCACAGUAGCGGCGAGCGAAGAGGGCAGAGCCUAAACCAGUCAUCUUCGGAUGGUUGGGGUUACGGACCUGCAUCAACCGAGUCCUACCUAGUCGAAUUACCUGGAAAGGUAAGCCAGAGAGCGUAAGAGCCGCGUAGGUGAAAGGAAGGACGAGGGGGCAGGGAUCCAGAGUACCACGAAGCACGAGGAAUUUUGUGGGAAGUCGGGGGGACCACCCUCCAAGGCUAAACACUUCUUAGUGACCGAUAGCGCAUAGUACCGUGAGGGAAAGGUGAAAAGAACCGCGGGAGCGGAGUGAAAGAGAACCUGAAACCGUAUGUCUACAAGCAGUCGGAGCGCAAGCGACGGCGUGCCUAUUGAAGAAUGAGCCAACGAGUUACGGGCACCAGCGAGGUUAAGCAGGAAAUGCGGAGCCGGAGCGAAAGCGAGUCUAAACAGGGCGAAUAGUUGGUGUUCGUAGACCCGAAACUGUAGUGAUCUACCCAUGAUCAGGUUGAAGCGCAGGUAAAAAUGCGUGGAGGACCGAACCGGUGAGCGUUGAAAAGCUUUCGGAUGAAUCGUGGGUAGCGGUGAAAUUCCAAUCGAACGCAGAGAUAGCUGGUUCUCCUCGAAAUAGCUUUAGGGCUAGCCUCAAGCAGUAAGCAUAGGCGGUAGAGCACUGAUCGGGAUAGGGUCCGUAAAGGAUACCGAACCCUGUCAAACUACGAAUGGUUAUGCUGCAGAGCUUGGGAGUCAGACUACGAGAGAUAAGUCCCGUUGUCAAAAGGGAAACAGCCCAGACCGUCAGCUAAGGUCCCCAAUGCCAUACUAAGUGGAAAAGGAUGUGGGGUCUCAUAAACAACCAGGAUGUUGGCUCAGAAGCAGCCACCAUUUAAAGAGUGCGUAAUAGCUCACUGGUCGAGAGGCCCUGCGCCGAAGAUUCCCGGGGCUAAAGUAUGGAACCGAAGCUACGGAUGCGGUACUUGUACCGCGUGGUAGAGGAGCGUUCCCAUUGGGUUGAAGUCGUCCUGGAAGGGACGGUGGACUGGUGGGAAGUGAGAAUGUUGGCAUGAGUAGCGAAAAGAUAGGUGAGAAUCCUAUCCACCGAAAGCAUAAGGAUUCCUGAGCAACGAUCGUCGUCUCAGGGUAAGUCGGGACCUAAUCCGAGGCAUGGAGCGUAGGAGAUGGACAACUGGUUGAUAUUCCAGUACCGGCAGCAAUCGUUUGAACGAUGGAGUGACGCAGGAAGGCAGGUCCGCGCGAGAAUGGUAGAUCGCGUACAAGCGUGCAGGCUGGUGCACAGGCAAAUCCGUGUACUGAGGCUGAGGCGUGAUGUGGAGGGAACUUGUUCCCGAAGGGAUUGAGCCUACGCUGCCGAGAAAAGCUUCUAGUGAGAAAGCUGCCGCCCGUACCGUAAACCGACACAGGUAUGCGGGGAGAGAAUCCUAAGGUGCGCGGGAGAACCCUCGUUAAGGAACUCGGCAAAAUGUACCCGUAACUUCGGGAUAAGGGUAGCCACAGUGGUGAAGGGACUUGCUCCUGGAGCCUAGUGUGGUCGCAGAGAAGAGGCCCAAGCGACUGUUAACCAGAAACACAGGUGCCUGCGAAAGAGAAAUCUGAUGUAUAGGUGCUGACACCUGCCCAGUGCUGGAAGGUUAAAGAAGGAUGUCCGGGUUCGACCCAAAGCAUUUGACUGAAGCCCCAGUGAACGGCGGCCGUAACUAUAACGGUCCUAAGGUAGCGAAAUUCCUUGUCGGGUAAGUUCCGAC